RNAcentral lists this ribosomal RNA (405 nucleotides) under uncultured bacterium. RNAcentral describes it as "bacterial SSU rRNA". It matches the Rfam family "Bacterial small subunit ribosomal RNA", at positions 376 to 774 of the family's 1533-position model. The record is from RNAcentral.
CGAAAGCCUGACGGAGCGACGCCGCGUGGAGGAUUAAGGCCUUCGGGUUGUAAACUCCUGUCACGGGUUAUGAACGGCGUAGUGUUAAUAGCGCUACGAUUGACGUAAGCCCGAGAGGAAGCACCGGCUAACUCCGUGCCAGCAGCCGCGGUAAGACGGAGGAUGCAAGUGUUAUCCGGAAUCACUGGGCGUAAAGCGUCUGUAGGUGGCUUAAUAAGUCAACUGUUAAAUCUUGAAGCUCAACUUCAAAAUCGCAGUCGAAACUAUUAGACUAGAGUAUAGUAGAGGUAAAGGGAAUUUCCAGUGGAGCGGUGAAAUGCGUAGAGAUUGGAAAGAACACCGAUGGCGAAGGCACUUUACUGGGCUAUUACUGACACUCAGAGACGAAAGCUAGGGUAGCAAAUG